GAAAUGCGAUACGUAAUGUGAAUUGCAGAAUUCCGUGAAUCAUCAAAUCUUUGAACGCAUAUUGCACUCUAUUUCGGUAGAGUAUGCCUGUUUGAGAAUCUAUAGUAUUUAUUCUACCUAGGUUGUGCUUUCGGGCAUAACUUAUGGCAGAGAUUUGAGGCUUCUCUAACAAGAGUGCCUUUAAAUAUAUAGCUUGUUGGACGAGUAAGGUGUUGACUCUUUACUUUAUCAGCAGAAACGUAUUCGAAUGGGCCGAAAGGUUCUCCUUGUACUUAAUACGCUGAUGUUUAGAUGAGCCUUGUGAGUCUGGCCAGUCCAUAACCUAAAAGGUGCAGAGUAGUAAUACAAAGCGCCUUGAACCAUGGUCUCAAAUCAGGUAGGAUUACCCGCUGAACUUAA
RNAcentral lists this unclassified non-coding RNA (399 nucleotides) under uncultured Chytridiomycota. RNAcentral's name for it is "sequence contains ITS1". The stretch from base 1 to 101 matches the Rfam family "5.8S ribosomal RNA", at positions 50 to 154 of the family's 154-position model. Lineage: Eukaryota; Fungi; Chytridiomycota. The record is from RNAcentral.